This 362-nucleotide long non-coding RNA is filed under the name Setaria viridis. Its description in RNAcentral is "long non-coding RNA (SVIR_LNC003148)". Lineage: Eukaryota; Viridiplantae; Streptophyta; Magnoliopsida; Poales; Poaceae. The record is from RNAcentral.
GACAAUGACCAGUCACUGCCAAAGACCUCAAAGUCAUGGUACAACAAUGGGCAGAUGAAGAAGAUAAAGAGCGUGAAUGAUUCGGCUCUCAUCGCAACCGCGGGCGCGACAAUAACAGUCACGAACAAGACAAGAACUGAAAUACAGAUACUCGAAAUAACUACUCAAGUAAACAAACCCGCAAACGCAAACCUGACAACACCGUUGCUUCCAUGACCAACUCAGGAAAGAAAGGAUCCCGCAAACAUGAUGAAGGACCAACCUUCACCGAAUUACUCAAGAAACAAUGCCCAUGGCACCCAAACAACAAACAUUCAGUGAUAGAUUGCUACAACAUGUGCCGAGUAAUGCAAGAUUUACCC